RNAcentral lists this ribosomal RNA (512 nucleotides) under uncultured bacterium. RNAcentral's name for it is "bacterial SSU rRNA". It matches the Rfam family "Bacterial small subunit ribosomal RNA", at positions 25 to 518 of the family's 1533-position model. The record is from RNAcentral.
CAGGACGAACGCUGGCGGCGUGCCUAAUACAUGCAAGUCGAGCGAAUGAUGAGGAAGCUUGCUCCUCUGAUUAGCGGCGGACGGGUGAGUAACACGUGGGCAACCUACCCUAUAGUUUGGGAUAACUCCGGGAAACCGGGGCUAAUACCGAAUAAUCUAUUUCUCCUCAUGGUGAAAUACUGAAAGACGGCAUCUCGCUGUCGCUAUAGGAUGGGCCCGCGGCGCAUUAGCUAGUUGGUGAGGUAAUGGCUCACCAAGGCGACGAUGCGUAGCCGACCUGAGAGGGUGAUCGGCCACACUGGGACUGAGACACGGCCCAGACUCCUACGGGAGGCAGCAGUAGGGAAUCUUCCACAAUGGGCGAAAGCCUGAUGGAGCAACGCCCGCGUGAGUGAAGAAGGAUUUCGGUUCGUAAAACUCUGUUGUAAGGGUAGAACAAGUACAGUAGUAACUGGCUGUACCUUGACGGUACCUUAUUAGAAAGCCACGGCUAACUACGUGCCAGCCGCGGC